RNAcentral lists this ribosomal RNA (251 nucleotides) under uncultured Burkholderiales bacterium. Its description in RNAcentral is "partial 16S ribosomal RNA". It matches the Rfam family "Bacterial small subunit ribosomal RNA", at positions 552 to 802 of the family's 1533-position model. Lineage: Bacteria; Pseudomonadati; Pseudomonadota; Betaproteobacteria; Burkholderiales. The record is from RNAcentral.
UACUGGGCGUAAAGCGUGCGCAGGCGGUUUUGUAAGACAGUGGUGAAAUCCCCGGGCUCAACCUGGGAACUGCCAUUGUGACUGCAAGGCUAGAGUGCGGCAGAGGGGGGUGGAAUUCCGCGUGUAGCAGUGAAAUGCGUAGAUAUGCGGAGGAACACCGAUGGCGAAGGCAAUCCCCUGGGCCUGCACUGACGCUCAUGCACGAAAGCGUGGGGAGCAAACAGGAUUAGAUACCCUGGUAGUCAAGGGCG